CGCGAUACAGGGUGACAGCCCCGUACACAAAAAUGCACAUGCUGUGAGCUCGAUGAGUAGGGCGGGACACGUGGUAUCCUGUCUGAAUAUGGGGGGACCAUCCUCCAAGGCUAAAUACUCCUGACUGACCGAUAGUGAACCAGUACCGUGAGGGAAAGGCGAAAAGAACCCCGGCGAGGGGAGUGAAAAAGAACCUGAAACCGUGUACGUACAAGCAGUGGGAGCACGCUUAGGCGUGUGACUGCGUACCUUUUGUAUAAUGGGUCAGCGACUUAUAUUCUGUAGCAAGGUUAACCGAAUAGGGGAGCCGAAGGGAAACCGAGUCUUAACUGGGCGUUAAGUUGCAGGGUAUAGACCCGAAACCCGGUGAUCUAGCCAUGGGCAGGUUGAAGGUUGGGUAACACUAACUGGAGGACCGAACCGACUAAUGUUGAAAAAUUAGCGGAUGACUUGUGGCUGGGGGUGAAAGGCCAAUCAAACCGGGAGAUAGCUGGUUCUCCCCGAAAGCUAUUUAGGUAGCGCCUCGUGAAUUCAUCUCCGGGGGUAGAGCACUGUUUCGGCAAGGGGGUCAUCCCGACUUACCAACCCGAUGCAAACUGCGAAUACCGGAGAAUGUUAUCACGGGAGACACACGGCGGGUGCUAACGUCCGUCGUGAAGAGGGAAACAACCCAGACCGCCAGCUAAGGUCCCAAAGUCAUGGUUAAGUGGGAAACGAUGUGGGAAGGCCCAGACAGCCAGGAUGUUGGCUUAGAAGCAGCCAUCAUUUAAAGAAAGCGUAAUAGCUCACUGGUCGAGUCGGCCUGCGCGGAAGAUGUAACGGGGCUAAACCAUGCACCGAAGCUGCGGCAGCGACGCUUAUGCGUUGUUGGGUAGGGGAGCGUUCUGUAAGCCUGUGAAGGUGUACUGUGAGGUAU
This 916-nucleotide ribosomal RNA is filed under the name Escherichia coli. RNAcentral describes it as "partial 23S ribosomal RNA". It matches the Rfam family "Bacterial large subunit ribosomal RNA", at positions 353 to 1271 of the family's 2925-position model. The record is from RNAcentral. Lineage: Bacteria; Pseudomonadati; Pseudomonadota; Gammaproteobacteria; Enterobacterales; Enterobacteriaceae.